CUCCGGUUGAUCCCGCCGGACCCGACUGCUAUCAGAGUGGGACUAAGCCAUGCGAGUCAACAUAGCAAUAUGUGGCAUACGGCUCAGUAACACGUAGUCAACAUGCCCAGGGGACGUGGAUAACCUCGGGAAACUGAGGAUAAACCGCGAUAGGUCAUCACUUCUGGAAUGGGUAAUGACUUAAAUCUAUAUGGCCCCUGGAUUGGACUGCGGCCGAUCAGGCUGUUGGUGAGGUAAUGGCCCACCAAACCUGUAACCGGUACGGGCUCUGAGAGGAGGAGCCCGGAGAUGGGCACUGAGACAAGGGCCCAGGCCCUAUGGGGCGCAGCAGGCGCGAAACCUCUGCAAUAGGCGAAAGCUUGACAGGGUUACUCUGAGUGAUUUCCGUUAAGGAGAUCUUUUGGCACCUCUAAAAAUGGUGCAGAAUAAGGGGUGGGCAAGUCUGGUGUCAGCCGCCGCGGUAAUACCAGCACCCCGAGUGGUCGGGACGUUUAUUGGGCCUAAAGCAUCCGUAGCCGGUUCUACAAGUCUUCCGUUAAAUCCACCUGCUUAACAGAUGGGCUGCGGAAGAUACUAUAGAGCUAGGAGGCGGGAGAGGCAAGCGGUACUCAGUGGGUAGGGGUAAAAUCCGUUGAUCCAUUGAAGACCACCAGUGGCGAAGGCGGCUUGCCAGAACGCGCUCGACGGUGAGGGAUGAAAGCUGGGGGAGCAAACCGGAUUAGAUACCCGGGUAGUCCCAGCUGUAAACGAUGCAGACUCGGUGAUGAGUUGGCUUAUUGCUAACUCAGUGCCGCAGGGAAGCCGUUAAGUUUGCCGCCUGGGGAGUACGGUCGCAAGACUGAAACUUAAAGGAAUUGGCGGGGGAGCA
Molecule: ribosomal RNA, 868 nt
Filed under: uncultured archaeon
Lineage: Archaea
Description: bacterial SSU rRNA
Rfam family: Archaeal small subunit ribosomal RNA
Source: RNAcentral